GUGUCAGCAGCCGCGGUAAUACGUAGGGCGCAAGCGUUGUCCGGAAUUAUUGGGCGUAAAGAGCUCGUAGGCGGCCUGUCACGUCUGCUGUGAAAUCCCGGGGCUUAACCCCGGGCGUGCAGUGGAUACGGGCUGGCUGGAGGCAGGCAGGGGAGAACGGAAUUCCCGGUGUAGCGGUGAAAUGCGCAGAUAUCGGGAGGAACACCGGUGGCGAAGGCGGUUCUCUGGGCCUGUACUGACGCUGAGGAGCGAAAGCGUGGGGAGCGAACAGGAUUAGAUACCCUUGUAGUCC
RNAcentral lists this ribosomal RNA (292 nucleotides) under uncultured Acidothermus sp. RNAcentral's name for it is "partial 16S ribosomal RNA". It matches the Rfam family "Bacterial small subunit ribosomal RNA", at positions 505 to 796 of the family's 1533-position model. Lineage: Bacteria; Bacillati; Actinomycetota; Actinomycetes; Acidothermales; Acidothermaceae. The record is from RNAcentral.